This 1322-nucleotide ribosomal RNA is filed under the name Enterobacteriaceae bacterium 91(2012). RNAcentral's name for it is "bacterial SSU rRNA". It matches the Rfam family "Bacterial small subunit ribosomal RNA", at positions 93 to 1368 of the family's 1533-position model. Lineage: Bacteria; Pseudomonadati; Pseudomonadota; Gammaproteobacteria; Enterobacterales; Enterobacteriaceae. The record is from RNAcentral.
AUGCAGCUGCUGAAUGUCGCCUGUCUGUGUGCCACCUUUGGUGCGCGGGUUGGCGCCCGUCUACCUAUGCGUCAAUGUUGGGACUAUGCGGAUGGGGGUGCUUGUUAGUGGAUCACCUCCUUAUACCGCAUAACGUCGCAAGACCAAAGAGGGGGACCUUCGGGCCUCUUGCCAUCAGAUGUGCCCAGAUGGGAUUAGCUAGUAGGUGGGGUAAUGGCUCACCUAGGCGACGAUCCCUAGCUGGUCUGAGAGGAUGACCAGCCACACUGGAACUGAGACACGGUCCAGACUCCUACGGGAGGCAGCAGGGGAAUAUUGCACAAUGGGCGCAAGCCUGAUGCAGCCAUGCCGCGUGUAUGAAGAAGGCCUUCGGGUUGUAAAGUACUUUCAGCGGGGAGGAAGGCGUGGUUAAUAACCUGCGAUUGACGUUACCCGCAGAAGAAGCACCGGCUAACUCCGUGCCAGCAGCCGCGGUAAUACGGAGGGUGCAAGCGUUAAUCGGAAUUACUGGGCGUAAAGCGCACGCAGGCGGUCUGUAAGUCGAUGUGAAAUCCCCGGGCUAACCUGGGAACUGCAUUGAAACUGCAGGCUGAGUCUGUAGAGGGGGGUAGAAUUCCAGGUGUAGCGGUGAAAUGCGUAGAGAUCUGGAGGAAUACCGGUGGCGAAGGCGGCCCCCUGGACAAAGACUGACGCUCAGGUGCGAAAGCGUGGGGAGCAACAGGAUUAGAUACCCUGGUAGUCCACGCGUAAACGAUGUCGAACGAUGUCGACUUGGAGGUUGUGCCCUUGAGGCGUGGCUUCCGGAGCUAACGCGUUAAGUCGACCGCCUGGGGAGUACGGCCGCAAGGUUAAAACUCAAAUGAAUUGACGGGGGCCCGCACAAGCGGUGGAGCAUGUGGUUUAAUUCGAUGCAACGCGAAGAACCUUACCUACUCUUGACAUCCAGAGAACUUAGCAGAGAUGCUUUGGUGCCUUCGGGAACUCUGAGACAGGUGCUGCAUGGCUGUCGUCAGCUCGUGUUGUGAAAUGUUGGGUUAAGUCCCGCAACGAGCGCAACCCUUAUCCUUUGUUGCCAGCGGUUAGGCCGGGAACUCAAAGGAGACUGCCAGUGAUAAACUGGAGGAAGGUGGGGAUGACGUCAAGUCAUCAUGGCCCUUACGAGUAGGGCUACACACGUGCUACAAUGGCGCAUACAAAGAGAAGCGACCUCGCGAGAGCAAGCGGACCUCAUAAAGUGCGUCGUAGUCCGGAUCGGAGUCUGCAACUCGACUCCAUGAAGUCGGAAUCGCUAGUAAUCGUGGAUCAGAAUGCCACGGUGAAUA